CCCCCUCCUCUCCUCCAGUUCGUCCCUGAGCAGCAGCAGUUCGUCCCCUCCUCCAGUUUUCCUCCAAUUCCAAUCAGUGGCUGAUUCCAAUGCCUCCAAUUUCUGGAUUUGUUUCUAUAAUGGACUAGAUGCAAGUUUUAAAUUUUCUGUUUCUUUGUUUUCUUAUAUUGUAGAUGAAGAAAAAUAAGAUUGCUGGCAGUAGCAUAUUUGCAAUGUGGGAAAAGGCUUCAAAGACAAAGAAAAGGGAUGAAUCAUCCACACCAAAUCAGACAGCAGCUAUCAAUCAUAUCAUCGUUUUAUCAAUCAAAAGGUACUUUUGUAUCCAUGUUUUUUUUAUAAUUAUUAUGGUUUGACACAUUCAAAAAAUUCUAUUGUCAUUACGUCAUAAUAUUUUGUUCAUAUAUUGCAAUAGCCGCACUAUUUGGUUUAGAUAUUGAAAUUCCCGUACUAUUUGGUUCAUAUAUUGCAUUUAGAGUAAAAAAAAAUUUGGGUGAAUACCCAGCCAGCAAUUCCUGGCGCCGCCACUGUAUGGUUGUGUUCGGCAACCCUCCACUCCUUCAAUACAGAGAGGGGCACACGGAGCACCCUUUUAGCCGCUCGCUAAAAUACAACUGCAUGCGCUCCGCAGCGGAGUUGAGGGAUUCCAAACAACCUCUAUAUAUGAAAUGAUUAUGUAACAACAGUUCAAAUAAUUAAGUCCGAAUUGUCAACAACAACACAUAGUUCCCCUCAGAAAAAAAGCUUCACCACCAUACCUUCAGGCUUGGGAUUUUCAGCAAUGGUAGUACCCACUCUAGAUAACUUCGAUUUAUUGCUGCCUUUCAGCAAUGGUAGUACCCACUCUAGACGCAUGCAUAGAUAGCCUCACUCUCCUUUUUCUCAUACAGGCUCACGACGCAUGCAUACGUAUUAUCUGACGAAACUGAACAAAACAACACCUAGCUAACUG
Molecule: long non-coding RNA, 949 nt
Filed under: Triticum aestivum (bread wheat)
Lineage: Eukaryota; Viridiplantae; Streptophyta; Magnoliopsida; Poales; Poaceae
Description: long non-coding RNA (TAES_LNC007238)
Source: RNAcentral